GCCUUGGUGGCGGAACUGGUAGACGCGCAGGACUUAAAAUCCUGUAUGCAGCAAUGCGUGUGCGGGUUCGAUUCCCGCCUGAGGCA
This 86-nucleotide transfer RNA is filed under the name Bacteroidota bacterium. RNAcentral's name for it is "tRNA-Leu". It matches the Rfam family "tRNA". From Rfam's summary of the family: Transfer RNA (tRNA) molecules are approximately 80 nucleotides in length. Their secondary structure includes four short double-helical elements and three loops (D, anti-codon, and T loops). Lineage: Bacteria; Pseudomonadati; Bacteroidota. The record is from RNAcentral.